Long non-coding RNA from Toxotes jaculatrix (banded archerfish), 2030 nucleotides. RefSeq lists it as uncharacterized. Lineage: Eukaryota; Metazoa; Chordata; Actinopteri; Toxotidae. The record is from RefSeq and is a predicted model, not a curated record. The transcript has 10 exons.
UCUCGUUUCGCUCUCCGGUUGGAAUUUAACGGCUCUUUACAGUCGAUUAAUCAGCGGAGGAGAAUUGUACCAAAGUCCACUUACCCAGCCGGAGCCUCAGUCUGUGAGUCACGGUCGUCUGGAUUGUUCUGGAGGUCCGCGGAGAGCUGCUGUUCCUCGGCUGAACCAAUGUGAAUCUGUGUCGCCUGUGUUCUGGAGGUGCAUGAUGGGAAUGUGCGGCGCGCCACUCAUCAGUGGAAACUGCAGGUUCGGCUGCUGCUGCUGGACCAAGGAGGAGUCUCCAUGGUAACCGUUGCCAUUGGUUACAAGCUGCUGCUCCGGCUGCUGCUGCUGAUGCUGCUCCUCGCGGCUCUUCUCCAGCUCCAGCUUCAUGAUGGUGUGCAGGAAGUGGGUCCGCACCCGGACGGGGUUAAACUCCAGGCGUCCCGUGGUGUUGCUGCAGCCUUCUUUGGUGCAGCCACAGGGAAACGACAUGCGGUCCACCUGAGGACGGACAGCAAAGUCCAGCAGUCCAGAGGGGACGGGGUGGUUGAGACUGUCGCUGCUGUUGCCGCUGUCGCUGCAGGAGACCUCAUCAUCGUCAGACCCCUGCAGGGAGAGGUAAGGGGACGGGCCCUCCUCAAGCUUCCUCUUCAAGAUCCCGCUCAUCGUGUGGCUCCUCCCACUGGUCUCACCUGCACAAAGGAGAAAAGUGCGGAGCGUCGUCGUUCGUACAGCUGUUCUCUGUGAUGGUAGCUGCCAGCGUGUGGAGCUCAGGAACCCGUGCCACAGCACACACACACACACACACGUCGGAAAUUUAAAUCCUGUCUUAAGUCUGUGCUGAUGUGGCUCUUAAGGGGACCUGCACUGUGUCGUCUGUAAAUGAGUUUCUACUGUGCUUCCUUACAACUGGUAGUGAACAGCAGAGGGCAGACUUGGCAUGGAAAACAGAAGACAGCGGGCAGGUGGUGGUGGUGGUGGUGGUGGGGUUCUCCCCCCCCAAACCCAGCACAGAUCCGCUACACGAACUCCUGCCUGCGGAGCCCUCCGACACUUGAGCUGUCAGCUGUCAGGAGCAGAUUCGGAGUCCGCUGAUUUUCUCAUAAGAUCAUCUCUGAUGUUUUGGGACCACAGCUGCAGGUGAUGGCAGCCAGCGCCACGGCCUGCAAGAGGCGAGGCUCCACAGUUAAGCACAUUCCACACACAUUUAUAUGCAUGAAUCUAUAUGAAUCUCAGCAACAGUGAUAGGAACAAAUCACUGUUGUCUGGCAUCGGAGUAAAUGAACUUAUAUAAGUUCCACUGAGGCUCAGGAAAAGCCUGUGAAGGCUUGGUGUUAAAGCUAGUUUGGAACUCAGGAAGCAAAAAUAAAAAUAAAAUCUCCUAUCUUCCUUUUUCAGAAGCAUAACUUGGCGAGACAGACUUUAUUUAUUAUUAUAGAUAAAACAUAGCACAUACACAUCUAUAGCCUUCAUAUACCUUGCUGAAAGAUAGAAAAUGAUUUAAAAAAAAAAAAAAGUAUUCUCAUUCUUAUUCCAAGAUUCUGUUCAAGGAUGGCAGCUAUUAUGAGAUGUAAUCUCUUUCCAUAAUGUUAGACGAGCCCAGACAAGGAAAACAUUGGCUUUCAGCGAGGGAAAGGCCAUCUAUUCACAAAACAUAGCCCCUUCCUUCCUGGAGUGCAUCCAGAUAAGGUGUUUGUAUAACACACACAGAGAGUCAGUGCAUCCCCAGCGGAGCUUGCUAAUGAUGAACACGCAGAGCAAAUGCAGCACAGGCACAGAUAAUGGAUGAGAAACACCGAAAUAUGGAACAGCAGGUGUACUAUAAUAAAUUUAAGAGGGGGAAAAAUGUAAUUUAAAAAAACAAAACAAAACAUAAUGAUAUAAAAUAAAUACAAAAAUUCAAAUAAAGGGAUCUGUAAGUUUUGCUGCUCUCACACAGGCAGCAUGAGCAGCCAUGCAUUUUCCUCCCCUUCACCUUAAAGGACUGUGUGCAUGCAGUGUUCUGUUUUCACUAAUGGUCGGCCAGACUCUGACUGCUCCACAUUACU